This is a long non-coding RNA of Trichechus manatus latirostris (Florida manatee), 1090 nucleotides long. RefSeq lists it as uncharacterized. Lineage: Eukaryota; Metazoa; Chordata; Mammalia; Sirenia; Trichechidae. The transcript is spliced from 3 exons. The record is from RefSeq and is a predicted model, not a curated record.
UCACAUCCCCUCUUCCCCCAACCUCAAGCAAUCAUUGGAUCUCUUAAUUUUAUUUAGUUAUAUCUCACCUCUUUAAAAAGAAUUUGAAAAUGGCCUUAAAAGGGAGUAAAUACAUCAAUAAAAGAGGGGGGAAAAGAAGAAAAAACAAGAUGAAGAGGAGAAAGAUAUCCCAACCAUAAAGGUCGAUAGAGCGACUGUGAUUGAACUUGAAGGCAGAAGCUUGGCUGCAGCCUCCUCAUAGCCUAGAUAAAGAGGGGAAUGUGGUACUUAAACUAUCAUCUGAGAGGAAGAAGUAUUUCAUUUUCUCAGGGUAGGCAAAAUUUCGUUAGCACAAAGAGCUGAGAUGUUCCUUGUACAAGUUAUCAGCCAGAAGUUUUUGGAGGAUGCUCAAUGAGAGUAUCAUAGCAAAUGCGGGAGGAACAUUCACUUGUCUGUUUCUUCUGGGCAACCUUCCGUAAAUGUUUCUAUAGCAAAUAUUAAAGUAUCUUCCCCAGAUAAGACUACCCUCAACCAGGCUUUUCAGAGAAGUGGGAUAUUAAACAAUUCAAAAUUAUCUUCUCUAGGCAGGGCCUGGAGCUCCAGAAUCCUUUACUGAUAAACAAGAACAGAAGCAUUUGUUUUGAAAACCAGAUUCUGAAUUGACUGAGAAAUAAGACAAAGGUGCAAAGAAGAUGGGAGCAAAAAAUAUAUCUGCUAGUAGAAAAUGUGGCAUGUACAUGGGUGCUGUACCAAGCCUGAGGAGAAAAAUAAGUGAAAACCUUGAGAUGUUUCCAGUGAAGACUUCUUAUAUUUUAUCCUUGACCACGUGCUUGGAGAUGGCAGGUAGGUAGAGACUUCAGCAGUUGUAUUAAUUAGGAUGCAUUUGCCCGCAAGCAACAGGAAACCCAGCUUGAAGUGCCUUAAACAACCAAGAGAACACACUGUGACUAAGACUGUUGGGUAUUUUCUAAUAUCAGUUUUCCACUUCUAGCAGGAGCAGAAGUCCCAAUUUAUAGCUGGGCAUCUGGCCUCUCAGAAUAAAGACAAUGUUUUUCAAUCUCACCUACAGUUAACCAGCUGCCAUCAAGUCAGUUCGGACUCAUGGCAACCC